CAGAAAAGAAGGAGAAGAGAAGAGAGGGAGAAGAGAGGGAAGAAGAAAAGGGAAAGAGAGAGAGAGAGAUCAAACCUUGAUGGUUUUGGAUGAUUCAAAAGCCUAAAUCGCUUAGAAUCUCGCCCUCUUUCAUAAUCCAAGCUUUGUUUUGAGUGGGGAACCUUGUGGAGAGGGAUAUUGGCUCUCAAAAAUUCGGCCAUUGGUGAGGUUUUGGAGUUUUGGUGGCUUCUACCUCCAUGGGAGCUUGAGGAACACUCCCAUCAUUGUUGUGCAACCAUUGGUGGAUUGAGACAUUUGGACCAACCGUGAGUGAUCAACCAUUGGAGCAAGCUAUGGAGCUUGAAUAGCUCAUUGGAAUUGGUGUAUGUUUGUAAAAGUUGAUUGCUGAAACUGUUGGUGAAGAACAAAGGUUGACUGAAGCAUUGAGGUAAGGAUGCUGCAGGAGCCUCAGGUGGCAAGUGGCCAUAUCUGGAUUAUGCAUGAAAUAUGGCAUUUCUUUGAGUUUAUGCAUGCCUUUUGUAGUUGACAUGUAUAGGAUUUUAUUUUGAAAGCCC
Molecule: long non-coding RNA, 554 nt
Organism: Gastrolobium bilobum
Lineage: Eukaryota; Viridiplantae; Streptophyta; Magnoliopsida; Fabales; Fabaceae
Exons: 4
Source: RefSeq, a predicted model, not a curated record